This 107-nucleotide small nuclear RNA is filed under the name Canis lupus familiaris (dog). RNAcentral also lists the same sequence under 1 other name. The record is from RNAcentral. Lineage: Eukaryota; Metazoa; Chordata; Mammalia; Carnivora; Canidae.
GUGUUCGCUUCAGCAGCACAGAUACUAAAAUUGGAACAAUACAGAGAAGAUCAGCAUGGCCCCUGUGCAAGGAUGAUGCACAAAUUCGUGGAGCAUUACAAAUGAUC